CGGUACACCACUUUAACAAAUUGUACCUUGAACCUGCUUGUUUCGUCUUCGAUUUGUCGUUUGUGAUUGCUCCUUGAUACCACUAUUCUGAUCGUAUUUUAUAACUCUACGUGUUUUAUGGCAUUAUUAUAAUAGAGUGUUAUAAUGCUAUGGAAAAUCCAUGGUACGGUAUUUGAAGAUUCUUCAACAACCUGUUCUCUUCUCGAAUUCUUGCACUCAAAGUAUACUAACAGUUCUGGAUCGCGUUAAAAUUCUUCCGGGACUAAUUUCGUAGUUAGUGGGUCGCUAACAAUAUUGAAAUGUUUAGCGACCGAUUUAGCAACUUCUGCAUAACCCAAGCUAUAAAAGAGGGACCAAUAUAUUCUGCAUUCUUAGUUUUCCAUUGACAUCCAAAGCUCUACAUUCAGGGUUUCUUGAAAUUUACUACUUGAGUGAUUCUAUAAUAAAAAAAAAAAUGGUGCCUUCGGUGCUUCUUUUCAACUCGAUUUUGUUAUUGAAGAUUAUAUUGCAAACUGAAUGCAAAAGUUUGGAAACAACACCGCAGUCUUCAGAUGUCUCUGAUAUUGAUACCGAAUUUCUGAUGCACAUAAUAGGCAACAUUAAUGAUACAGAAUUAAAUACUACUAAAAAUGAAGUAAAUUCAACAAUUAAUUUGGGAGAACCUUUUGGAUUAACAAUAGAGACACGUCCCAAACGUGAGUCUUCUGCGAUGAACACUGUGAAUUCUACAGAUACCAAUCAGACAUCAAGCAGACUUGAAGAGACAAUUCAAGAAAUGUUUUUUGAACCCUGGGGUCGUAUUAGAAGAGAUGCUGAUGAUGCUCAAGAUCAAAAUUCAGAUGAAACUGCUCAAGAUGGAAAUUCUAAUGAAUCUGCUCAAACUAAAAAUUCAGACGAAGGUCAAAGCGAUUAUAAUGACACUGAUGAAGAUAAUGACCCAUCACACGAGUCCUCUAUACAACUGGAACAUGAUGGAACGAGUUCAAUGCAGGAGGAGGUUCGUGAAAAAAGAAAUGGAGAAUCAGGAGAAACUUUAGAAGAAGGUGAAUAUCGUUAUAGAACACAUCCAUAUUGGUAUCGUCAGCCCAUCAUCAGAAGAUAUUGGUCCAGCGAUGAAAGAAAAUCAUCUCGUGAUUUCAUAAAGAUUCCCAUAUUUCCUGGGAAGUAAUAUUCCUUCAUAGAAUAGAGUGACUCGCUAUAAAUCAGUUCGUUAUUUAAUUUACUAUUACAAUCAUUUUUUCAUUUUUUUAAUUACAGUAUUACUUGAACAAGCAAUUAUUUAAAAUAAAGUGUUAUUUGAUGAACAAAAUAACGCUUUAUCUCCAAUACUCAAUUUUUCAUUUUUUUAAAAAGUGCCUAACUUUGUCUUAUACUAAUUAUAAACGUAUGACUAACGAAUGUUUACAAUAAAUCAAGGAUGAAAGAGUUCACAUGUUUAUUUUGGUUAUUUUAAGAAAUUCAUAGUAAAUAGCAUUCAUAAAAAAAAAAAAAAGAUUUUAAAUUAACAAUAUUUGUUUGUAUCAUUAACGAUGCUUGCUUUGGUGAGUAGCUUUUCGUCUCCUUAAACAUUAGAGUAUUAUUAAAAUACGUACAUUGUCACUCGUGCUCUCAUUCAUUAUUAUAAAUUAAUAACAAGAAUAAUAAAAUACUAAUCGUUGUCUUAGAUUAACUUAACUUUACAAAAUUAUUUAAGUUACUUAAAUUACUUGACAAGCUAUUAAUAAACAUCGAGCAUGUUGUUAUUUUGUUAUUGAAACGACGUGCACGUGGUUUGUUUGUUAAUUAACAGGUCUGCUAUUUACAGCUUGUUCAUUAACAAGAUUACUAAAUGGCACAGCCUUUCUCAAAACCGGUCUACUUCCGUCUCCGGCGGUACUUCUUCUUUUCUUACAGUUUUGCAAUUAAUGUUUAUAAUUUAUCUAUCGUAUUUCUGAGUGAAGUUCAUCCUCAAAAAUUGGAUAGUUUAAUCUCAUUCAAGAAUCUUCAAUAUCCUUUUGUGAAAGGAUACUUAUAUCUUCCUUCUUUUGACUUUAAUGUGAAGUCUUACUUAUCCAUCUUUUAUAAGAUUCUUUUAAAAUUUUAAUCAUCAUAUUCAGAUUUUUCUUUUUCUCUGAUAAUUUUACCGAAUACCUUAUUGAUUCGUUUGAAACAAUUCAAAGACAUUCCUGCGUCGAAAUUACCAUAAAUAUAAAAUUAAACGAAUCGCUGGAAUGCGAAUCGCGCGUGUCCUUUUUACUUUCCAAAUCAUUGUCCUCUUGGUUGUCUGGUUGUCAGCAACACAGGCGAUGUCCUUAACGUUUCAGAAGCCAUUCCUGCGACGAUAAGCGUCCCUGACGCGUUGUCUGUACGCUAAUUGUUGUCUAUAAACGAACAGUGGUCGCAGAGCGUAGUUACCAGCUGCAGUCUCAAGAUCAUCCUGUUCCUCUUCCUUUGCUUCUCGUUUUUCAAUCAACUUAUCAUCAAUAAUAUUCUCCGGCUCGUUCAAUUUGCUUAAGAGAAGAGUAUAAAGCGCUGGAGAUGAUUCGUCGUUGAACUUCUCAAAGAGGAUCGGAAUUCUAACAACGGGACCAAGCUUGCUGUCGGGAUUGACCGGAAGUGCGAUGGAGGAGCCGAAGACAGCCAGGAAGAAGGCGAUCGCAAGGGGAGUCUGAAAGAAGAUAAUCAAUUUGUGAUUCUCGUGUGAUCUUUGUAAAAUCUAUGUACCACCUUACCAUCUUUGCACCAAGUUAAUCUCUCGAAGGACAAUUGAAGAUGAUUCUGAUGAUCUGAAACACCAGCUUCUCGAGCUGUUAGAUUCGCGGAACCGCUCGGUGGCUACUUUGUGCCUAGCAAAGCAUCCUUCCAGCAUUUAUACGAAACAAUGGCGUCAAACGGGGCCACGCUAAUCGUAUAGUGACGUAUCGUACCAGGUGAUAACUGACCUGGUAAACCAGAAACAUCGAUGAAUCCUCUGCAGUUUGUUUUUUUUACCUCAUCUAUGACCCCGAGAUCACAGGAUGCACAGGGAGUACGCAUGGAUCUUGACGUUGUUCGCGUUUCACGUCAAUUGCACCAAUCAAAUACAAGCUUGGUAAAAAAAAUACUACGACGUACCAUUUAUUACUCACGAGUUUGUUUCUUAGAAUAGAUCAUCGCGUUCUGCUGUAAUACACUUGGCAAUAUUUUAAGAAGAAAUGAAGAACCAACGUCAAUCAGUUUAUACGUAAUCAAUUUGUUGUUAUUAUAUUAUUUAAGUUUAGUAUGUUUGUAGAUUAUUGGUGGAUAUACUGGUGCAAAAUUCUGUAUUGGGGUAGAUAAUUAGAAAUGCUUGUCAGAAUUUUAAUUGAUUAAAGCACGAAUUUAUAUAUUGCUUUAUUAGGUAUAAGAUAUUCUCGAGCGAAAUUAGAACGAACUAACUUCUUUUAAUUAACGCUACGAUUGCAUAAAGCGUUAAUUAAUCCCGUUUGUUAAUACCACUGUAUGUCAAAGUAUUUCUAUUUGAAUAUCAAUAGUAUUUUAGUCGAUAACGUUAGAAAUAUAUUUUGAAAUAAUAAUUAAAAAAGUGCUAUAGAAGACCUACUAUAUAUUCAAAUUCUAUAUAAAGUAUUUUAACUAACUAAAAGCUUCAAAGCUUAACAUUUGAACAUUGAUUAUUCCUUUUUUCUUUUUUAAUAAUUAGUCAAAACUUUUUAAUGAGAGAAUUUCAAUUUAUUCAAGGUUUUCUACGCAUUUUUCAUCAACGAAGGAGAGAAUAUGUUCUUCGAAUAAAAACAGGGAAAGGAUGAAUCUUAGAAAAUUGUGCAUCUUCGGUUUUUGAAAUUAUCGAAUCAAAUGUUGAAUCAAGGUAUUUACCAAACAAAAUCGAUUUAUUUUCACUUAAUCAUUCUCAUCUUGUCGAAUAAAUAAUAAAGCUGUUCGCUUUUCUACGAAAUUGUUCGUGUAAAAACGAAUCGAGGAACAAAGGGAAACCGUUUCCUCUUUCUUUAAUUUUUUUGGUUCAUUUUAGUUUGUUCUUUUCACUGUUUGUCGUGUAUGUGUGUUUGUGUGUCUGUUUUUCAAUCUUGUCACGCGACUCUUAGGAUAUAUUAGAUCUCAGGCUCGGCUUCCUCGUGCACAGUUUCGCUGCUUUCGGUAGUAGUAGGAGUAGUUUCGCUUUUAGAUCUGAAAGAAAUCACCAGAUGAGGGUAUUUCGUGGCUGCUGGGAUGAAUAAGUACGAGAAUAUUAAAACACAUUCGAUGCCAGCUCGGAAAACGAGUCGAUUCAAUUACUGUCUGCCACAGCCUUUAAACAGUAUGGACAUUGCACGCGAUGUCGCGUGAGCGGCACCGAAUGUGUUAACAAAUGGAUUAGUAGUACAUAUUAAGUUGUUACUUAUCAAAUGACUCAUUUUGAUACAUAGAAAGAUUGACACGAUUAAAUAACAUAAAAGUAACAGUAAAAAUUUACAACUAGCUAGGAUAAUUCUAUUUUCAGCUGUAAAUUGAUUGACUUCAAUGGAGAAUCAAUCAUUUUGUAUUGAAAUAAUUGAUGAACCGUUGAUGUAGUAAGUUUCAUUAAACUUUAUGCCACAAGUGUUAUUUUGUACUACUUUUGUGUCAUGAAAUCAUGUCAGACUCUCUGUGCUUAGAAAUCAGUUAUUUGAUAUGCAACAACCUAAUAUCAUUGUUGUUAGAAACACGAGGUCUCUGAGGUCAGAGGUGAUAGGCCACGACUACAUUGGAGAACGACGAGGUGACACAGAUAUUUCUAGCAAAGUAGCUGUAAACAGAGAUUGACUAUCGCAAUCUAACGCUUAAAUUAACUUACUAACAUUUUUCACUAAUCACUCAUCGCUUUGCUAAUGUAUCCGUGGCCUUAAUGUGGCGGGAUCGAGACAGACAUUAGAAUUGUUAGGUGAAAGUCAGGGGCGGAUGGAUCGAUCGACCUGUCGUGAUAUUAAAUUUGCUCAAAAAUUUCUUCGGUUACUUUGAUUACUCGUGAAAAAUUGAACAUUCAAUUGGAGCAAAUUUAAUAAUCUGAAAACAGUCGUUCGAUCGCGUUAGUUAAACAAAGGGGAUAGAGUGGAAUAAAAAAAAGUUGGAAAGUACGAAAAAAUCCUUUCCUGUAUUGAUCGAUCUAAAUAUGCAAUCGGGGAACCUCGUCUACGAGUCUUACUACAUUUUGCGAGUGGAAAAAAAAAGAAAGAAAAAUGUAUGCGUCGUGAGGGCAUCGAGUUCACCGCACAAUUCAUUGUUUCUUUUUUUCUCUUUCUCGCUCUCUUUCGUUCCGGUUCGUGUAAAUAACAUUGUAUUACAUGCAAAUCGUUCAUUAUUCUAUCCGUAGUUACUUCGAUUUGGAUCUAUUCUUUCUCUAACGGGUGAAGAAGCGAAAUGACCUUCUGUGUAAGAAACCAACUUGAAGAGAGAUCAAAAGAUGAAACUCUCUCUCUUUUUUUUUUUUUAUAUUCCUUUCAGUUCACUUCUUUAGCCCCUUCGUUUCUAGAUUCUUUUCUUUCUAAAUUCUACCGCUCGUGUUCAGCUGUUACAUUUCAAACACCGCAUUCGAUACGCUUCUACGACGCUACAAUUUUUUAUUUUUUUUUUGCGAAUAUAGUUAACUGUGCUUAAGUCGAGUCGCAAGGAGAUGCAAUCUGACUUCGUAGAGAAGUAACUUUCCUAUCAUUAACCAUUUGAACUUGAAAAGUAUCAAGCUGAAUCCAAUCGUGACACUUUCGAUCCUUGUUCUUCUUUCGUUUCUAUUUCUGAUUUUCUUUCGCUUCUCGCACGCGUAACUCGAUCCUUAGCUUUUUAGGUAAAUCUAUCUGCCACAAAUUGUCGAUCGAACCGACAGAACGUAUGAAGAAUGUUAGCAUUACAAACUAUUGCAUCUAACACCUUCUACCAAAUGCAUUAAUUGCAUUAAAAAACAUUCUUGUUAUUCGAUUGAAACAUAUCCAUUGAUUCGAUCGUUCGACAAUUAUAUGAUAACAGACUUACUGGAACGAUAAUAUCUAUUAACAUAUAAUAAUAAUAUGUAUGUAUGUAUGUAUGUAUGUAUGUAUGUAUGUAUGCAUAUUGUCGGAUGGUAAAGGAUUCACUUGCUCGAUGGCUACGCUCUUCCAAAAGGCGAGGAUUUUGCUUUACGUUAUUGUAAUUAUUAACGCUAUUAUCGGUCGUAUUCUCGAUGUGGUUCCCAUUUCGAUCCCUUCCAUUUGUUUCGUACGAGUAGGCACUUAGCUAUGUUUCUGCGGUUCCUUGUAGUUUAGAACGCUAGUACGGUGAGAAUAUAUUUGUAUACCCGGGGGGGUGGAGAGAACAGAAACUUGCGUACAAAAGCCUCCCCUCUUCGUCUUUUUCUUUCGUGUUCGAUCGUUCGAUUUCUUCAUAAUAUUUCUUUUUUUUUUCUUUUCUUUUAGAACAAUCAUUCUCUUCUUUCUUUAUUACGCUCAUUCUCUCCCUCUCUCUCGCUCUCUCACGCAUUCAAUCAAAGCGUGUUUUAUAUAUAUACAUAUAUAUAUUUUACGCUUCUUCCCCUUUUUUUUUUCUUUUUCUUUCUUCUCGUGGUUCUGGAACUUUAAGUUAGCACCGUGUCUUUCGUGGAUUCUAGUUCUCGAGAAUAAGCUUUUCCUCUCACACGCACUCUCUCAUUCUCGUCAGGAAGUUUUCCCGCGAUCAACGACAACAGGGGAGUUCUUUCAAGGUGAAUUGUUCGUUCAUCCUUCUAUUGUUUACGGUUAUUCAAGAAUAUCUGGGCAAACUCGUGCAACCACCUUCAUUAGGAACGAACGUCUCUUACUGAAAGACUAGCCACGAACGAAUUUCAUUCUGUAAUUGACUCUUCGAUGAAGUUGACUUGAACUGUUCAAGGCUUCCUGGUUACAUACCGUGUCCCUUUGGAAUGUCACUUUUUUGUUUCUUUUUCUUUUUGAAGACACAUUAAUACUAUCUUGGAUAUAUUGGAUCAUCCAUACAGCGAUCUAGGAACAUUGAGAAUUCAAAGUACUUUCAUAAGCUUAAGUGGAACAUUGCGGUUAUUAUUCACAAACUGAGGAAACUAUGAUUACAUUCUAUUAGUUUGUUGCAUAUAUCAAAUGAACGGUUUUGGGGCACACACUUAUACCGUGUCAAUUUGAAGCUCAAGUCAGACUUUCUAUGUUUAAAAAUUGAUCAUUUGAUACAGAACAAGCUAAUACAUUUAGAAUUCCAAUUGAGUUGUUCCAUUUAUAGUAUCCUCAGAAUUCUAAAUGCCACAAUGCAAUAUAGAAAUGCAAAUAACAGUUUACCAGGACAUUCGAUAAACAAGAUCAUCCUGAGAACCUUAAUUUCUCAAUGCGUCCAUUGUACUGUGAAUCCAGCUGCUACAUGGAUGAAACGUUUAUUCCAAUAUCCAGAAGCCUCUCAACAGUUUCAACCGCAAGAACCCAAUUAUCCUCGCGACAUCCUGAAGGUAUUUCAACGGUGUGUCUCUAAAAAGCAAAAUAUAAAAAAUAGCGAAUUUGUUGAUUUUCUGUAGGAACGCUAGCAUCUCUUUCGUUGAACGAGAUCGCUCUAAAUGAAGGCACGUACACUUGUUGUUGUUUUUGUUGUUGUUCCCCUCUGUUCAGAGGCUAAAUUUCUGACCAUUUUAUCCUUUUUCGCACCUUCUCGAACGUAGCAGAGAAUUCGUCCAACACGGACACACCUCUAGUUACACAAAACAUAGUCUAGACGAAAAAUCAGGUAACGAGAUAUACAAUUGGUGCAUACACAGGUGAACAACUGUACCCGACGACAGAAUACUGUAUUAAAUUCGAACAUGUUAACAUAAUGCAUCUCUAAGAUAACGAAUUACACGGACGCAUAUUUAAUGCAAUAACACGUACCCGAAAUGUCUCGUUUCUUUUUUUUUUUUGUUUGAAGAUCGUAUUCCAAAUUUAGAGCCAACGACGUACAAAAAAGUACAAAAUACGUUUGCCCAUCACGUGCAUUUUCUUCUAAAGAAAUAUCGAAACGCAAACUGCAUUUUUCUUUUCUUUUUUUUUUUUUUCUUUUGGAACACGAUCCAAGUCUUUUCUUCUCAAUUUUUUUUUUGUUUGUUUCUUUUUGACGAUCGUGACUUACAUGAAAGCUCGACUUAAAGAGUACAGAUUUAACUUUUUUUUUCUUUUUCUCAUUUUUUUUUUUUUUUUGUUCAACUCUGCUUCUUCUAGAAGCAAUUAGACGUAUAUUCAGUCUUUCCACGAUGCUCAACGUGUACUUAAACAUGUUACCAUUGAGCAAGUCAGUUGGAGUUAGCAUUUGAUAAGAGAUUGGCUCUUUUAACCCCCUGUUUCUGUUCCCCUCGGCUCUUUUAAGUGUCUUAAAGUCUACUCGCUAAGCUGAUCGAUGCGCAGGGACACGCUCUGUGAAGAGGGUUAAAAGUGUACAAAAUAAAAUCUACUAACGCAACCAUGGACAUGGUUCAUGAAUUUAACACGUACUGAUCAGAAUCAAUUUUUGAUAUCAACCUUGAUACUUUACACCCCCAGGUUGUACAGAAAAUAUCAACAUCCGAUGAAUAGUAUCAAGUACCUUUAGAUCAAAGCGAAUAGAAUUAUUAUCAAUAAUUCUAUGCUUUUUCUCAUCUUUAAGAAUGCGAGGAAGUUCCUACGAAUCAUCAACUAAUUCCCAAGAAUUAGUUAAUACGGUACUUGGUACUUAAAACAUCGUUGUCUCCCAGUAUCAAGGCUAAUGUCAGAAACUGAUUCCAAUUUCUAUGCAUCUAGUUUAUGCAUGGCAUACAAAAUUCUUGUUGGCUUCUUAUCGUUUGGCACCUACUAUAUAUGGAUUACUUCAUCACAAUAAUUAACAGACAAAUAAUAUGCAGUCGCGUGAGAACAGUGUGAUGAGCACGGCAAGUUAAUUAUUUUUAAGUCGUUGCUAAUUACUUCAAUACGUUGCGAAAUUCGUUAUUAUUAGUGUCUUCUGUAUACCAGGCAUGAAACAAAAAAGAAAAACUCCUUUAAAGAGACUUGCAUGAAAUAUUACCAAGUACACAGAAUCGAAGGCACAAAUUGCCAUUUAAACGAAAUAUCUCGGUCAAUUGCGUUUGUUCAUAGAAGAUAGUGAAAAAGAUUUAGUUGUCGUUUACCAACAGCCCAAGGAACAAGUUCUAAACGAAUUAAACGAUUCUAAGUAAAUAACAUCAAGAAAUGGGCCAUAUGGUACGUCACAAGCAUGACUUAUGCUAACUCUAAUAAUCCAUUUCACCUGAUCGUGAAUAUUCUAUAGAAGAAUGGACUCUACUUCGAUGGGCAAGUUAUUUUAUAAAAACAUUUACAUGGUGUACUAUAAUUAAGAUUGUUAACAUUUCUUUCUACGCCUAUCACGAAUAUACUCGUUAGAUCCUAGCAAGGGAAUCGGGUGCUUAUUAACUCUAGGAGAAUGAUUUUGGUACCCUGAACAAUUGCUAACAGUAAGACUAAUUUAUUCGAGAAUUAUUCACCGAAGAAAAAGAAUCGAAGAGACUCGUCUCGUUUGUUCUUAAAAUGGUUAUUAAAAUUAUUGAAUUAAACGUCGAAUAGCAAUGAAUUAUAAAUAGAAAAAGCACUAAAUCUAUUUAAGUGAUUGAAAAAUUAAAAAAAAAAAAAAAAAAAAAAAAAAAGAGGCAAAUUAAUACUUGCGUUUGUCUCUCUAAAAGUAAAUCAUUGAUUUUACUUAUUGGAACGUUAUGCACCCAUUUGAUGUGUAAUACCUAAUAUAUAUGAAAAACCUACAGUUAUUACAAUAUACGAAUAAGAAGACAUUGAUUCAUCCUCCGUAUUAGAUUUUUACACGUGCCUUCUUUUCUCUUCUAAUUUACAAGACACACAAUUAUUAACAUUCUCUAACAAAUAAAAAACAUAUCCUAUAUUUUUCUGAUUAGGAUUAAAAAAAAAAAA
Non-coding RNA from Osmia lignaria (orchard mason bee), 9857 nucleotides. Lineage: Eukaryota; Metazoa; Arthropoda; Insecta; Hymenoptera; Megachilidae. The record is from RefSeq and is a predicted model, not a curated record.